GCCCAGACUCCUACGGGAGGCAGCAGUGGGGAAUCUUCCGCAAUGGGCGCAAGCCUGACGGAGCAAUGCCGCGUGAACGAAGAAGGUCUUCGGAUUGUAAAGUUCUGUCCUUAUCGAAGAGAGGGUAUAGAGUGAAAAAUGAUAUACUAGGACGGUAGAUGAGGAGGAAGCCCCGGCUAACUACGUGCCAGCAGCCGCGGUAAUACGUAGGGGGCGAGCGUUAUCCGGAUUCACUGGGUGUAAAGGGAGCGUAGACGGCCAUGCAAGCCAGGGGUGAAAGCCCGGGGGCCAACCCCGGGACUGCCCUUGGAACUGCAUGGCUGGAGUGCGGGAGGGGCAGGCGGAAUUCCUGGUGUAGCGGUGAAAUGCGUAGAUAUCAGGAGGAACACCGGUGGCGAAGGCGGCCUGCUGGACUGCAACUGACGUUGAGGCCCGAAAGCGUGGGGAGCAAACAGGAUUAGAUACCCGGGUA
RNAcentral lists this ribosomal RNA (472 nucleotides) under uncultured bacterium. RNAcentral describes it as "bacterial SSU rRNA". It matches the Rfam family "Bacterial small subunit ribosomal RNA", at positions 329 to 792 of the family's 1533-position model. The record is from RNAcentral.